GGCUCUGUGGUGAAGUUCAUGUUGAGUUGCAAGCUCAUCGAUGCACAUGGAAGAUGUGUCAGGGCCU
Molecule: transfer RNA, 67 nt
Filed under: Musophaga violacea (violet turaco)
Lineage: Eukaryota; Metazoa; Chordata; Aves; Musophagiformes; Musophagidae
Description: tRNA-Cys
Source: RNAcentral